RNAcentral lists this ribosomal RNA (319 nucleotides) under uncultured eukaryote. Its description in RNAcentral is "partial 18S ribosomal RNA". It matches the Rfam family "Eukaryotic small subunit ribosomal RNA", at positions 1470 to 1796 of the family's 1831-position model. The record is from RNAcentral.
CCCUUAGAUGUUCUGGGCCGCACGCGCGCUACACUGAUGCAUUCAACGAGCCUAGCCUUGACCGAGAGGUCCGGGUAAUCUUUGAAACUGCAUCGUGAUGGGGCUAGAUUAUUGCAAUUAUUAAUCUUCAACGAGGAAUGCCUAGUAAGCGUGAUUCAUCAAAUCGCGUUGAUUACGUCCCUGCCCUUUGUACACACCGCCCGUCGCUCCUACCGAUUGAAUGGUCCGGUGAAAUCUCGGGACGGCGGCUUGGUCGCUUGCGUCCGACUGCUGAAACUUGAUUAAACCAUAUCAUUUAGAGGAAGGUGAAGUCGUAACA